This 457-nucleotide ribosomal RNA is filed under the name uncultured bacterium. RNAcentral's name for it is "SSU rRNA". It matches the Rfam family "Bacterial small subunit ribosomal RNA", at positions 26 to 518 of the family's 1533-position model. The record is from RNAcentral.
AGAAUCAACGCUGGCGGCGUGCCUAACACAUGCAAGUCGCACGAGAAAGGGGAGCAAUCCCUGAGUAAAGUGGCGCACGGGUGAGUAACACGUGAAUCAUCUACCUCCGAGUGGGGAAUAACCUAGAGAAAUCUGGGCUAAUACCGCAUAACACUUACGAGUCAAAGCAGCAAUGCGCUUGGAGAGGAGUUCGCGGCCGAUUAGUUAGUUGGCGGGGUAAUGGCCCACCAAGACGAUGAUCGGUAUCCGGCCUGAGAGGGCGCACGGACACACUGGAACUGAAACACGGUCCAGACUCCUACGGGAGGCAGCAGUGGGGAAUUUUGCGCAAUGGGGGAAACCCUGACGCAGCAACGCCGCGUGGAGGAUGAAAUAUCUUGGUAUGUAAACUCCUUUCGAUGGGAAGAUUAUGACGGUACCAUAGAAGAAGCCCGGCUAACUUCGCGCCAGCAGCCGC